UACGUAGGGACCAAGCGUUGUCCGGAAUUAUUGGGCGUAAAGGGCUCGUAGGCGGUUUGUCGCGUCGGGAGUGAAAACUCAGGGCUCAACCCUGAGCGUGCUUCCGAUACGGGCAGACUAGAGGUAUGCAGGGGAGAACGGAAUUCCUGGUGUAGCGGUGGAAUGCGCAGAUAUCAGGAGGAACACCAGUGGCGAAGGCGGCGAUCUGGGCAGAUACUGACGCUGAGGUGCGAAAGCGUGGGGAGCAAACAGG
Molecule: ribosomal RNA, 253 nt
Filed under: uncultured bacterium
Lineage: Bacteria
Description: partial 16S ribosomal RNA
Rfam family: Bacterial small subunit ribosomal RNA
Source: RNAcentral